UACGGAGGGGGCUAGCGUUGUUCGGAAUCAUUGGGCGUAAAGGGCGCGUAGGUGGUUCUGUAUGUCUACCGUGAAAGCGUACGGCUCAACCGUAUUUUGUCGGUGGAAACUGCAGGACUUGAGGCUGGGAGGGGCUGGUGGAAUUCCCUGUGUAGCGGUGAAAUGCGUAGAGAUGGGGGAGAACACUCGUGGCGAAGGCGGCCAGCUAGACCAGUUCUGACACUGAGGCGCGACAGCGUGGGGAGCAAACAGG
RNAcentral lists this ribosomal RNA (253 nucleotides) under uncultured bacterium. RNAcentral describes it as "partial 16S ribosomal RNA". It matches the Rfam family "Bacterial small subunit ribosomal RNA", at positions 524 to 776 of the family's 1533-position model. The record is from RNAcentral.